ACGAACGCUGGCGGCAGGCCUAACACAUGCAAGUCGAGCGGACCUUUCGGGGUCAGCGGCGGACGGGUGAGUAACGCGUGGGAAUAUGCCCUUCUCUACGGAAUAGUCCUGGGAAACUGGGGGUAAUACCGUAUACGCCCUUUGGGGGAAAGAUUUAUCGGGGAAGGAUUAGCCCGCGUUGGAUUAGGUAGUUGGUGGGGUAAUGGCCUACCAAGCCGACGAUCCAUAGCUGGUUUGAGAGGAUGAUCAGCCACACUGGGACUGAGACACGGCCCAGACUCCUACGGGAGGCAGCAGUGGGGAAUCGUAGACAAUGGGGGCAACCCUGAUCUAGCCAUGCCGCGUGAGUGAUGAAGGCCUUAGGGUUGUAAAGCUCUUUCAGCUGGGAAGAUAAUGACGGUACCAGCAGAAGAAGCCCCGGCUAACUCCGUG
This 432-nucleotide ribosomal RNA is filed under the name uncultured bacterium. RNAcentral describes it as "partial 16S ribosomal RNA". It matches the Rfam family "Bacterial small subunit ribosomal RNA", at positions 29 to 507 of the family's 1533-position model. The record is from RNAcentral.